GAUGAACGCUGGCGGCGUGCCUAAUACAUGCAAGUCGAGCGAACGGACGAGAAGCUUGCUUCUCUGAUGUUAGCGGCGGACGGGUGAGUAACACGUGGAUAACCUACCUAUAAGACUGGGAUAACUUCGGGAAACCGGGGCUAAUACCGGAUAAUAUUUUGAACCGCAUGGUUCAAAAGUGAAAGACGGUCUUGCUGUCACUUAUAGAUGGAUCCGCGCUGCAUUAGCUAGUUGGUAAGGUAACGGCUUACCAAGGCAACGAUGCAUAGCCGACCUGAGAGGGUGAUCGGCCACACUGGAACUGAGACACGGUCCAGACUCCUACGGGAGGCAGCAGUAGGGAAUCUUCCGCAAUGGGCGAAAGCCUGACGGAGCAACGCCGCGUGAGUGAUGAAGGUCUUCGGAUCGUAAAACUCUGUUAUUAGGGAAGAACAUAUGUGUAAGUAACUGUGCACAUCUUGACGGUACCUAAUCAGAAAGCCACGGCUAACUACGUG
Molecule: ribosomal RNA, 497 nt
Filed under: uncultured bacterium
Lineage: Bacteria
Description: partial 16S ribosomal RNA
Rfam family: Bacterial small subunit ribosomal RNA
Source: RNAcentral